Molecule: ribosomal RNA, 208 nt
Filed under: uncultured bacterium
Lineage: Bacteria
Description: partial 16S ribosomal RNA
Rfam family: Bacterial small subunit ribosomal RNA
Source: RNAcentral
UACGUAGGGGGCAAGCGUUGUCCGGAAUUAUUGGGCGUAAAGAGCUCGUAGGCGGUGUGUCGCGUCGGCCGUGAAAACUCGGGCUCGACCCCGAGCCUGCAUACGAUACGGGCAGACUUGAGUUCGGCAGGGGAGUAACUGGAAUUCCUGGUGGAGCGGGUGGAAAUGCGCAGAUAUCAGAGGAACACCGGUGGCGAAGGCGGUCGCG